Molecule: non-coding RNA, 133 nt
Organism: Caenorhabditis elegans
Lineage: Eukaryota; Metazoa; Nematoda; Chromadorea; Rhabditida; Rhabditidae
Source: Ensembl
UACAAGAUAAUAUGCGCGGAAGGAAUUAGAAUAACUGCUGAAGGUAAUGGAAAUCUGAUAUGCACGUAAGAACCGGACAACAGGUAAGAAGGCGAAACGACAGGGCGCGUGAGGUUUUGUUGAGGAACAGGAA